CACUACACUUUAGCACACACAACCUGCCGCCGGACCUGGGCCGCAUAGGAUCACUUAGGAUGGUGUUGAGGUGGAUACCACUCCGACUACAAGCAUGUAGUACGAGUCGCCCAUCUCAACCCCGAAAUUUCUUUCUUGAUGUCAAAGGUCCCCACCCUGGUCUGCGAGCAUGCGACACGGGUCGGUCCUUUGAUGAAGCCGGAGUCAUGGGUAACACGACCUAGCCACGAGCU
RNAcentral lists this long non-coding RNA (233 nucleotides) under Eucalyptus grandis. RNAcentral describes it as "long non-coding RNA (EGRA_LNC000780)". Lineage: Eukaryota; Viridiplantae; Streptophyta; Magnoliopsida; Myrtales; Myrtaceae. The record is from RNAcentral.